This is a long non-coding RNA of Pseudophryne corroboree (corroboree frog), 435 nucleotides long. RefSeq lists it as uncharacterized. The record is from RefSeq and is a predicted model, not a curated record. Lineage: Eukaryota; Metazoa; Chordata; Amphibia; Anura; Myobatrachidae. The transcript is spliced from 3 exons.
GGGAAGUGUGAUAAGAAGCCCAUAGUCAAGCCCCGUAAUUUAUCGCAUUCCAGAGCUUGGUGCAUACAAGUGAUGAGAUGGCGCAAUGCAUGCGCAGAAGACCAAACGGUGGCCUUCUUGGUAAAUGAAUUCAUACAUCGCCAAAGGAACAUCAUGGAGACUGCACACUAUCUCUUUCCAGGUUUCAAUAUGCAGCCCUCGAGACCUUUUACCUUCUGAGCAAAAGCCAACGGAGGAGCUAUGUCAGUGGGAAGCUGCCUCCUGUAUAUACAGAGAGCUGGCUGCAGCUAGGGGAGCUCCAGAGCGCGGCUCCUCCCGGGCCCUUCCAGUUAAGCAAGCCAGCCGAGGGAAGUUCUCUGCUCCUCCGUCAGGCUGAUGAUAGCCAAAGGUAGGCACUGACAGCACUUGCCUCAAGCUUUAAUAAAUGUUGGAAGC